This 284-nucleotide ribosomal RNA is filed under the name Cryptophilharmostes mahunkai. Its description in RNAcentral is "partial 28S ribosomal RNA". Lineage: Eukaryota; Metazoa; Arthropoda; Insecta; Coleoptera; Hybosoridae. The record is from RNAcentral.
GGACCGCGGUGGCANACCGAAACGUCUCUCGUANNGGAGUGCAUUUCGAACCCGCGUGUUUCCCGACCGACGCCCGACGGUAUCGAAAUGGCGCGGGGCCGCGACAAUAAAAGUUCGCGUCCGACCCUACGCGAGAGCGAACGGUUCAAUCUCGAUUCUUCGGACCUAGUGCCGGCAUCGGGCCCGUUCGACUGUUGGCGUACGGUGUUCUCGGACAGACCCCGAAUACUACUAAAAUAAUAUAGAACGCCUGUCAGCGACGCUAUAGCUUUGGGUAGUUUCAG